This 915-nucleotide ribosomal RNA is filed under the name uncultured bacterium. RNAcentral's name for it is "bacterial SSU rRNA". The stretch from base 1 to 818 matches the Rfam family "Bacterial small subunit ribosomal RNA", at positions 28 to 873 of the family's 1533-position model. The record is from RNAcentral.
AUUGAACGCUGGCGGCGUGCCUUACACAUGCAAGUCGAGCGGCCGCACGAGGAUGUUGGUCCUUUGGCCUGCGAGGGGGAAAGGGGAGUAACAUAUGUAUGACCUACCUAUGUAAUGGGGAUUACUUCAGGAAACCAGAGCUUAAACCCGAUAACAUGUUGAACCACAAGGUUCGGCAUUGAAAGACCGCCUUGCUGUCACUUGUCCAAGGAUCCACUCCCUAGUUGCUGGUUGGUAAGGUAACGGCUUACACAAGCAACAAUGCGUCUCCGACCUGAAAGGGUGAUCGGCCACCUUGGAACUGAGACACAGUCCAGACUCCUACGGGAGGGGGCAAUUUGGAAUCUUCCGGGAUGGGCGAAAGCCUGACGGAGCAACGCCGCGUGAGUGAAGAAGGUCUUCGGAUCGUAAAACUCUGUUAUUAGGGAAGAACAAAUGUGUAAGUAUCUAUGUGCGUCUUGACGGUACCUAAUCAGAAAGCCACGGCGUAACUACGUGCCACCAGCCGCGGUAAUACGUAAGUGGCAAGCGUAAUUCCUGAAUUAUUGGGCGUAAAGCGCGCGUUAGCGGUUUUUUAUGUCUGAUGUGAAAGCCCACCGCUCGACCUUGGAGGGGCACUGGAUACUGGAAAUCUUGAGUACGGAAGAAGAAAGUGGAAUUCCAUGUGUAGCUGUGAAAUGCUCUGAGAUAUGGACGAACACCAAUGGCGACCGCGACUUUCUGGUCUGUAACUGACCCUGAUGUGCGAAGGCGUGGAGAUGAAACAAGACUAUAUACCCUUGUGGUCCAAUGGCGAAUUCCAUAUUGAAUAUCUCGCUUAUCGAUACCGUGAGCGCGACGGGGGCCCGGUUUCAUUUCUUGUUCUCUUUAAUAAAUGGUAACUGCGCGCUUGCCGGAUCAGGUCUACAAGUUCAA